AAUUUAAAUAAAUAACUUAAAUAUUUUUUACUAUUUACUAUAUUACGGAAAAUUUUGCAAAUUAUUAAAACGUUUGGAUGUGGGCAAAUGAAAAAUGCCGAAGAGGACAGAAUUUUAGUUUUGUCUGUACUUUAUAACGUUAUCAACGACUCGUCAUGGCCGCGAGAUAUUCGAUAAACUAUUUAUUCAAUUUAGUGUUUGCUACGGUUGGUAAAGCCAUGCUGCGGAAAAAAGAUCAUUGGCAAAUAUGUGUGCUUAGCUAAAGUCUGCAGGUUAUAUCUAAAAAAUGGACUGACUUGUGUAACAUUAAAAUGUCGAGAGAAGUUGUUUCGAUGGUGGAUGGGCAUGUAAAAUUCGUUUUACGGUUCAGUUGCCGUAGGAAAGUUUAUAUAUGAGGUGGUUCGAAAAAUUGCCACAGCCGGUCUAAAGUUUUCACACCAAUGUAGAAUGCCGAAGGACGAUUACUUAGUCACUUUUGACGAGAAGUUUUGAGAACUGCAAAUUUUUUCCAAGUAACGACUUUUCAGAAAAGGUUAUUAUAUGGGGAGAGGAAAAAUGGAAAAUAUCUCAAAAAUUACGGCCUGCAGACCAAAAAUAGUAUUAUCAGCUAUUUGUUUUUUCGUUCCUCAAGUUCCUUAUAUAAUUCUUGAUGUCCAGCUAUACAAAAUUUAAGGAUCCAUCCAAGUGCACAGAAACUGAUGUCAGGAUCAUGAGUAAAAAAAUGUUGUUCCAUACUUGUGGCAAGUUUCAAGCCCUCGCCAAUUAAGUCAGCCCUUAACAGCUGAGCUUCACAAUCGACUUCGUCACCGUCACUUUUCAUCUUACAAACUCAUCGCUCUAAUACAAGAUAAAUACUGAAUACCGGAAUGCCGCGUUCAAGUUUAAGUGCAACGAGAUGGAGAAAAAUACGAUCAUAAAAGGUCACCAAAAAAAAUCUUUUUUUUUUUUUUUUUUUGAAUUCUUGGCAAAACAAAGAAUUCGCGUACAAAGUGUAUUUGUUUUUAUUGAUGAACCGUUUUAUUGCGAAAUCGGGUAAAAAAAGAUCAUGUAAAAAAAGAAGUUGGUUAU
Glossina fuscipes is the source of this 1068-nucleotide long non-coding RNA. RefSeq lists it as uncharacterized. Lineage: Eukaryota; Metazoa; Arthropoda; Insecta; Diptera; Glossinidae. The record is from RefSeq and is a predicted model, not a curated record. The transcript has 3 exons.